GCGCCCGUAGCUCAGCUGGAUAGAGUACCUGACUACGAAUCAGGUGGUCGGAGGUUCGAAUCCUCCCGGGCGCA
This is a transfer RNA of 74 nucleotides. It matches the Rfam family "tRNA". Rfam says of the family: Transfer RNA (tRNA) molecules are approximately 80 nucleotides in length. Their secondary structure includes four short double-helical elements and three loops (D, anti-codon, and T loops). The record is from Rfam.